This 75-nucleotide transfer RNA is filed under the name Patescibacteria group bacterium. RNAcentral describes it as "tRNA-Arg". It matches the Rfam family "tRNA". Rfam says of the family: Transfer RNA (tRNA) molecules are approximately 80 nucleotides in length. The record is from RNAcentral.
GGUCCCGUAGUUCAACGGAUAGAACAAGACACUCCUAACGUCUAGAUACAGGUUCGAUUCCUGUCGGGGCUACCA